UAGGGAAUCUUCGGCAAUGGACGAAAGUCUGACCGAGCAACGCCGCGUGAGUGAAGAAGGUUUUCGGAUCGUAAAACUCUGUUGUUAGAGAAGAACAAGGACGUUAGUAACUGAACGUCCCCUGACGGUAUCUAACCAGAAAGCCACGGCUAACUACGUGCCAGCAGCCGCGGUAAUACGUAGGUGGCAAGCGUUGUCCGGAUUUAUUGGGCGUAAAGCGAGCGCAGGCGGUUUCUUAAGUCUGAUGUGAAAGCCCCCGGCUCAACCGGGGAGGGUCAUUGGAAACUGGGGGGCUUGAGUGCAGAAGAGGAGAGUGGAAUUCCAUGUGUAGCGGUGAAAUGCGUAGAUAUAUGGAGGAACACCAGUGGCGAAGGCGGCUCUCUAGUCUGUAACUGACGCUGAGGCUCGAAAGCGUGGGGAGCAAACAGG
RNAcentral lists this ribosomal RNA (429 nucleotides) under Gemmatimonadota bacterium. RNAcentral describes it as "Gemmatimonadetes bacterium partial 16S ribosomal RNA". It matches the Rfam family "Bacterial small subunit ribosomal RNA", at positions 355 to 776 of the family's 1533-position model. The record is from RNAcentral. Lineage: Bacteria; Pseudomonadati; Gemmatimonadota.